RNAcentral lists this long non-coding RNA (197 nucleotides) under Mustela putorius furo (domestic ferret). RNAcentral describes it as "lncRNA (ENSMPUG00000026719.1)". Lineage: Eukaryota; Metazoa; Chordata; Mammalia; Carnivora; Mustelidae. The record is from RNAcentral.
UCUUGACCCUCUUGUCAGCCACAGGGAUGGAUGCCCUCCUGUCCGUCCUUGCUCUUCUGUCCAGAGAUAUUAGAAGUUCGAGGUAUGGGACCUACCUGGAGAUGUGGGGAUCACAUCUGGAGUUCCGGCCCCAGCAUCUGCAUGAAUUUUUUAAAAAAGGUAAAUUUAGGAAAUUUAGGAAAUCUAAGUUACAUUUU